Molecule: ribosomal RNA, 135 nt
Filed under: Cinnamomum aromaticum
Lineage: Eukaryota; Viridiplantae; Streptophyta; Magnoliopsida; Laurales; Lauraceae
Description: 5.8S ribosomal RNA
Rfam family: 5.8S ribosomal RNA
About the family: 5.8S ribosomal RNA (5.8S rRNA) is a component of the large subunit of the eukaryotic ribosome. It is transcribed by RNA polymerase I as part of the 45S precursor that also contains 18S and 28S rRNA.
Source: RNAcentral
CAACUCUCGGCAAUGUAGAUCUUGGCUCUUGCAUCGAUGAAGAACGAAGUGAAAUGCGAUACUUGGUGUGAAUUGCAAAAUCUCGUGAACCAUCGUGUCUUUGAACACAAGUUGCUCCCGAGGCCACACCUGCCU